CAGAAACAGAGGAUAGCUCCGGUGGCUGCUCCAGCAGAAAAGUCCUGGAAGUGCCCAGAUCCAAAUCAUCUCUGGUUACAUUCUGGGAGUCCAGGUAUGUGGCCGGCACCCAGCCCUGCUCCUCUGCUGUGCUGACAAACCACCAGCCUGGACAGAGCGACAGAAGACAGAGAGAGGAAGGAAGACAUAGUGAAGAUUACAGUACUGUAACAGUCAUCCAAUCUGAAGGACAGUAGUGAGCGUCAUUCCUAUGAGCUGGUCAUGACUCGCAGCCAACACAGCAGCUAAUUCAAACUGAGGGCCUGUGGGGGGUUUGCACAGUAGCUGCAGUGUACAGAGGCUCCUCCAACCUGAAUUUCCUCACAGUCACACUAGCUUCUGUGGAUGCUCUGUGCCUUUCGACCAACUGCUGUCAUACUCCUGCAGAGACAUUACAGUGCAACCUGGCCAAUCCCCUGUUUGGUUGCACCUUGUGCGAGCUGUCCGAGCAACCUUGGGUCCUUCAGUGAACUUUGUGUGCGUUGUUGCAGUGUGAAAGGUCCACCUAGCAGCAAGAACAGCUUGCCCCAUGUGAAACACAUUAGGACUCUCAUAGGCAGAUUCAUUGCAACUACUUAAAAAGCUCAGGAAGAAUUGGAGCCACCUGUGCGAGGAGAGCAGUAGUUCUGCACUGAGUCAAAGGCAGGAGUUCUUCCUCUCUGAAGCCCACCUGGUACACAGUGGAAAAACAGAACAAUAAAUCUGCUGCACUGAUGGAGGACUGAUGAUAGGGGACUGCUUGUCAUCAACAGUGGCAAGUGUGAACUCCCUUGCAUCUUACCUUCAGUAGAAUUACAUACACUGAUAGGAGUGUUUGUUUUUUGGCAUACAUUCAAAGGUAAUUUGUAUAUUGACCAAUCAGCACAUCACAUCAAACCAGGACAUGAUUUCAUCAUAUCACACUGGU
Acanthopagrus latus (yellowfin seabream) is the source of this 946-nucleotide long non-coding RNA. RefSeq lists it as uncharacterized. The transcript is spliced from 4 exons. The record is from RefSeq and is a predicted model, not a curated record. NCBI's taxonomy places the organism in Eukaryota, Metazoa, Chordata, Actinopteri, Spariformes, Sparidae.